This 500-nucleotide ribosomal RNA is filed under the name uncultured bacterium. RNAcentral's name for it is "partial 16S ribosomal RNA". It matches the Rfam family "Bacterial small subunit ribosomal RNA", at positions 30 to 523 of the family's 1533-position model. The record is from RNAcentral.
AUUGAACGCUGGCGGCAUGCCUUACACAUGCAAGUCGAACGGCAGCACGGGAGCAAUCCUGGUGGCGAGUGGCGAACGGGUGAGUAAUAUGUCGGAACGUGCCCAGUCGUGGGGGAUAACGCAGCGAAAGCUGUGCUAAUACCGCAUACGAUCUACGGAUGAAAGCGGGGGAUCGCAAGACCUCGCGCGAUUGGAGCGGCCGAUAUCAGAUUAGCUAGUUGGUGAGGUAAAGGCUCACCAAGGCGACGAUCUGUAGCUGGUCUGAGAGGACGACCAGCCACACUGGAACUGUGACACGGUCCAGACUCCUACGGGAGGCAGCAGUGGGGAAUUUUGGACAAUGGGCGAAAGCCUGAUCCAGCAAUGCCGCGUGCAGGAUGAAGGCCUUCGGGUUGUAAACUGCUUUUGUACGGAACGAAACGGUGAGCUCUAAUACAGUUUGCUAAUGACGGUACCGUAAGAAUAAGCACCGGCUAACUACGUGCCAGCCGCCGCGGUAA